UAGGUUUGCAAUAGAGUUGGUCUCCACUGAGGCUAAGCAGGCCUGAUAGUUUUUGAAUAAUGCGUAAUUAGUAGAAGAGUUAUUUGCUGCUCGUUUUAAACAAGCUAGUGGUUUUCAGUUUCCUGAUCACCUAAAGAGGAAACAAUCAUUGCAGGGCCCAGUUGAUAAAUGACCUAGAGUUAUUAAUUGUUAUUGUUCCACCAUCAUUAGGUACAGUUAUUUCUUCUACUACUAUAUGUAAGGAUUGUGAAAAAAAUCAUGGCAACCGUCCUUGUUUCAAGACAACAAAUGCAUGAU
Molecule: long non-coding RNA, 297 nt
Filed under: Carica papaya (papaya)
Lineage: Eukaryota; Viridiplantae; Streptophyta; Magnoliopsida; Brassicales; Caricaceae
Description: long non-coding RNA (CPAP_LNC010160)
Source: RNAcentral